RNAcentral lists this long non-coding RNA (595 nucleotides) under Rosa chinensis. Its description in RNAcentral is "sRNA RchiOBHm_Chr5g0026931". The record is from RNAcentral. Lineage: Eukaryota; Viridiplantae; Streptophyta; Magnoliopsida; Rosales; Rosaceae.
UCUUCAGACUCAUCAAAACCCUUUGGAGAGCUCCGCCGUCGUUUUGAAGUAGCACCACCUUUCCCCACCCAACAUGAGGGCCAAGUGGAAGAAGAAGCGUAUGAGGAGAUUGAAGAGGAAGCGCCGAAAGAUGAGGCAGAGAUCGAAGUAGGCACCUUUGGGGUCUCAAUCUGCAUCAAGCUUCUGGUGGAGUUUUGUAGACUGGAGCCUGUAGGAUGUUUAUGAGUGAUUAAUUCCUUUCUCUCGUAGAUUGGGAUUAUGACUAUCUUAUGUUAUGUUUUAAAUUUCAAGUCUUUUAAUUGUGUGUUUGGAACUUAAUGGCCCUACUAGUUUUAUCGAGUUUUUAUGCAACUUCAUGGAUCUUAUGAUGCUCAAGCUUUCGGUUUUUAAUUUAUCAUAUUAUGGGUUGCGUGUUCUUAUGGUUCCAAGCUUUUAUUGUAGUUGAUUUAUGAUGUUGUUGGUGGGAUUAUGUUACCUGUUGAAGUUUAGAUCUUUUAAUAGCUCAUGAGAUGUUGUGCAUACCAGCCUCUUAGAACUUAUAAGAACUUUUAUUGGAAAUUCAAAGAACUUGUGAUGUACAUCAUCUUCAAAUUUA